CAGUAGCCACGGUAAUACGUAGGGCGCAAGCGUUAUCCGGAAUUAUUGGGCGUAAAGAGCUCGUAGGCGGUUUGUCGCGUCUGCCGUGAAAGUCCGGGGCUCAACCCCGGAUCUGCGGUGGGUACGGGCAGACUAGAGUGAUGUAGGGGAGACUGGAAUUCCUGGUGUAGCGGUGAAAUGCGCAGAUAUCAGGAGGAACACCGAUGGCGAAGGCAGGUCUCUGGGCAUUAACUGACGCUGAGGAGCGAAAGCAUGGGGAGCGAACAGGAUUAGAGACCCCUGUAGUCCCUGUCUCUUAUAA
RNAcentral lists this ribosomal RNA (301 nucleotides) under uncultured bacterium. RNAcentral describes it as "partial 16S ribosomal RNA". It matches the Rfam family "Bacterial small subunit ribosomal RNA", at positions 509 to 809 of the family's 1533-position model. The record is from RNAcentral.